GAUCAUGGCUCAGAACGACGCUGGCGGCAGGCCUAACACAUGCAAGUCGAGCGAACCCUUCGGGGUUAGCGGCGGACGGGUGAGUAACGCGUGGGAACGUGCCCUUUGCUACGGAAUAGCCCCGGGAAACUGGGAGUAAUACCGUAUGUGCCCUUCGGGGGAAAGAUUUAUCGGCAAAGGAUCGGCCCGCGUUGGAUUAGGUAGUUGGUGGGGUAAUGGCCUACCAAGCCGACGAUCCAUAGCUGGUUUGAGAGGAUGAUCAGCCACACUGGGACUGAGACACGGCCCAGACUCCUACGGGAGGCAGCAGUGGGGAAUCUUAGACAAUGGGCGCAAGCCUGAUCUAGCCAUGCCGCGUGAUCGAUGAAGGCCUUAGGGUUGUAAAGAUCUUUCAGUGGGGAAGAUAAUGACUGUACCCACAGAAGAAGCCCCGGCUAACUCCGUG
RNAcentral lists this ribosomal RNA (445 nucleotides) under uncultured bacterium. RNAcentral describes it as "bacterial SSU rRNA". It matches the Rfam family "Bacterial small subunit ribosomal RNA", at positions 15 to 507 of the family's 1533-position model. The record is from RNAcentral.